UUGAUUUAUUUUGUAAAUCACUCAGACGACAUUGUUACGCAAGAGUUUGAUAUGGUCCACCGGAGGGCCCCCGCCCGGAGGCAGGGUCACCCCCGAGGCAACAGAGUCGGACGACAAAGGGUUUGUGACGUCCCGCGCACCGGAGCACGCGGGUAGUUACAGUUAAUGAUCCCUCCGCAGGUUCACCUACGGAGA
This 195-nucleotide unclassified non-coding RNA is filed under the name uncultured fungus. RNAcentral's name for it is "sequence contains ITS1". Lineage: Eukaryota; Fungi. The record is from RNAcentral.